GUCCACGCCGUAAACGAUGCAUGCUGGCUGUCGGAGGUAUUCACCCCCUCGGUAGCGAAGCUAACGCGUUAAGCAUGCCGCCUGGGGAGUACGGCCGCAAGGUUGAAACUCAAAGGAAUUGACGGGGGCCCGCACAAGCGGUGGAGUAUGUGGUUUAAUUCGACGCAACGCGCAGAACCUUACCCAGCCUUGACAUCCAAAGAACCUUGUAGAAAUACAGGGGUGCCCUGGCAACAGGGAGCUUUGAGACAGGUGCUGCAUGGCUGUCGU
This 270-nucleotide ribosomal RNA is filed under the name uncultured bacterium. Its description in RNAcentral is "partial 16S ribosomal RNA". It matches the Rfam family "Bacterial small subunit ribosomal RNA", at positions 793 to 1055 of the family's 1533-position model. The record is from RNAcentral.